CUUUCUCUUGAGGGUACAAUAUAAUCUAAUUUUCUUUAUUAUUCAAUUUGGAUCCUGUUAAGUGAGACAGACAUUCACUGAUAAGAAGGAGCAUUUAAAUUUUGGCAAAUAAGUUCAUUUGUAUUCUGAAAGCUCUGCACCCCUCGUAUUUAAUAAACUUUCCAUUACAGAACAUCACUU
Molecule: unclassified non-coding RNA, 180 nt
Organism: Bison bison bison
Lineage: Eukaryota; Metazoa; Chordata; Mammalia; Artiodactyla; Bovidae
Source: Ensembl